Molecule: ribosomal RNA, 440 nt
Filed under: uncultured bacterium
Lineage: Bacteria
Description: partial 16S ribosomal RNA
Rfam family: Bacterial small subunit ribosomal RNA
Source: RNAcentral
CCUACGGGAGGCAGCAGUGGGGAAUAUUGCACAAUGGGGGAAACCCUGAUGCAGCGACGCCGCGUGAGUGAAGAAGUAAUUCGUUAUGUAAAGCCUCAUUAGCCGGGAAGAAAAUGACGCUACCUGAGGCAGAAGCCCCGGCUAACUACGGGCAAGCAGCCGCGGUAAUACGUCGGGCGCAAGCGUUAUCCGGAUUUACUGGGUGUAAAGGGAGCGUAGGCGGCAGUGCAAGUCUGGAGUGAAAGGCGGGGGCUCAACCCGCGGACUGCUCUGGAAACUGUACGGCUGGAGUGCAGGAGAGGUAAGUGGAAUUCGUAGUGUAGCGGUGAAAUGCGUAGAUAUUAGGAGGAACGCCAAUGGCGAAGGCAGCAUACUGGACUGUAACUGACGUUGAGGCUCGAAAGCGUGGGGAGCGAACAGGAUUAGAUACCCGUGUAGUC